UCUCUCUCAGUCUCUCUUCCAAAACCCCUCUUUCAUAACCAAGAACACUGAAAUCUGCGAUUUCAACUUAAAAACCAAAAAUCCAAACUAUUUAUUCUAAACACUGACAUCCUAAUCAAAACCCAUAUAUCAGAAAUCUAGAUCUAUACUAUACAAACUUGAAAUUUCUUAGAAACUAUACAAACAUGAAAUUCCUUGGAAACCCUAGAAAAUUGAUGUUCUUCAUGAAAUCCGAAAAAACCCAUCAAUCUUAUAAUAGGUUAUGCUUCUAUUAACUAAAAAUUGGUUGAUUCUGACCUACUUUAUCAUCAGUGGUUGGUGAUGUUGUUGAUGGAGGUUGGAUUCAGGAAACUGAGUUCUUUGCAUUUCAUGCUCACCUGAUGGGCCACAAAAAAUGGAUUACUGCCACUUCAUGGGAGCCUGUACACCUGAGUAUCCAUGUCGCCGCUUUGCAACUUCAAGUAAAGAUGGGGAUGGGGGAAGUAGUGGAGCUGGAAUCGAGGCGGCAAGCAAUAUGAUGUAGAAAUUCUGGAUUCAACCAUGAUGUCCACUCCCGAAUUGAUCAAGUUCAGCUGCUAUUAAAAGGAGCUAGCGAGAGGGGUGCCAAAAGAAUCCGCCAACAUAUUCUCACUGAUGUUCGUGAUGUUUUGGAUGGUUCAAGUGUAGUGUCUAUUGAAACCGUUGAGAACGACCUUGCACAAUUGCGAGCAAAUGGUGUUGAUGCACAAAUUGCAUCUGGUGGGGGUCGCAUGAAUGUCACCAUGGACCGUAAGAGCUGGGGAACUGACAGUUCUGUAAAUUAUUUGAAUGACUGGGGUGUCGUAAAAAGAGGAUGGGAUGCUGCAGUUCUUGGUGAAGCACCAUACAAGUUUAAGAGUGCUUUAGAAGUAGUUAAGUGCCUUACACAACAAACUCGUAACAGAUGUGAAAGCGGCAAGGGAAAAGAAUGAUGUUUAUUCUUCCAGGAAGAGGCGGAGAAAAAGGUUAUGAGCAUACACAGUUCAUCAGAUUGAUUCAUAUUGUUCAUACCCUUUUUAAGAAAAAUUUGAUGUGCUACUGACUUCAAGACCGCGAAUACUGGCAGCUGCCACACCUCCUGCAAGUGAUGGAGAAAUAGAUCAAGUUGGUUCCGUCUUGGAUGCUCUGAAUAACGCCCCCCUCCACUUAUACAACCACACACCUGAAACUGAAGUUCCCAUUGAUUUGGUUAUGACUUAAGCUAAUUGAAUGAUGAUUCGCAGGUUGAAUCAUGAGGUCAUUAAUAAUGCGGUGUCGAUUGCUCAUUAUAUAGCUUAUUUAAAACUUAAGGUGAGUGCUUUAUGAUCUUUCAAAUUCAGAAACUAGGAUUCUUUAGCUAAGUUAGAUAAUCUGAAAUCUAGGGGUUUCCAAUAGAUUGUUUUUUAUUUUGUAAAUCAAACCAAUUUAUUGUAUGAGAUUGUGUCUACACUUAUUAGGAUCAAGAAGGUGCUACUCUACUUGUAUGGGUUUAUGAUAUGUUCAUCUAUUACAUGCUGAUGUAUGAAUUCUUCUUGAUCGGUUGUGAUGAUCAAUAAUGUUCUUGAUAGAUUGUGAUGAUAUUGAGAUUACAUCCAAAUGAUAAAUGGGGUAUUCUAGUUCAUCUAGAAUGGUAUAUGCAGGUGCAGAAUCAAUAUAUAUUCAGGUGCAAAAUCAUUAUAUAUAUUCAGGUGCGAAAAUCUGUCGGGAAUUGUUGCAUCUGCUGUUAACAGCAACGACAUGGUCCAGCACUGGUGGCUCUCUAUAUGCCACUUCAACCUUUUGCACCUGCUUUUCUAUCAAAGAUUUUCCUGGGAGACGUUAUUUACCUUGGCAGAUGUUCAUGAUGGGUCUUCAGUUCUAAUUGGCAGAUAUUUAUCCUCUAGUUUUGCUUUUCAGAUUUAUUUUGUCCAGGUUGAUUAACUGUCUCAAACUACACUGAGCUUGCUCGAUGCUAUCAGAAUCUCAAGGACCAAGAUGUGCUCAGUCGAUGAUGGCGAUGCCCAGACGUUAUGGGAAGCAAUUGCAGGUCAUGUUUCCAUAUAAGGCCUCAAACUUAAAUUUUAGACGAACAUUGUUUACGAAGAUAUUGAUUUUAAUACUCUUCCACUAUUGGUACUUCUGAUUAAAAGGUAUGCGUAAACAACAGGUAUUCUUAUGAACUAAUUCAUAUUUUCAAAAUCAGAAACUUGGAUUCGUGACCAUUGUUAGUAUUUAUCAUUGAAUCAACCAAAUAAUUGUAUGGUUUAUUAUAGUUCAUAUGUUACAUGAUUCAACUCGAGGAAUUCAUAGGAUUCGUAUCUGUGUUACAAACUGAUAUAUCUUGAUGGAUUGUGAUGACAAA
Long non-coding RNA from Papaver somniferum (opium poppy), 2338 nucleotides. RefSeq lists it as uncharacterized. The record is from RefSeq and is a predicted model, not a curated record. The transcript has 14 exons. NCBI's taxonomy places the organism in Eukaryota, Viridiplantae, Streptophyta, Magnoliopsida, Ranunculales, Papaveraceae.